RNAcentral lists this ribosomal RNA (253 nucleotides) under uncultured bacterium. Its description in RNAcentral is "partial 16S ribosomal RNA". It matches the Rfam family "Archaeal small subunit ribosomal RNA", at positions 474 to 727 of the family's 1478-position model. The record is from RNAcentral.
UACCAGCACCCCGAGUGGUCGGGACGUUUAUUGGGCCUAAAGCAUCCGUAGCCGGUUCUACAAGUCUUCCGUUAAAUCCAGCUGCUUAACAGAUGGGCUGCGGAAGAUACUAUGGAGCUAGGAGGCGGGAGAGGCAAGCGGUACUCGAUGGGUAGGGGUAAAAUCCGUUGAUCCAUUGAAGACCACCAGUGGCGUAGGCGGCUUGCCAGAACGCGCUCGACGGUGAGGGAUGAAAGCUGGGGGAGCAAACCGG